UCCAGCUGUUUUGGGACUACAACUCCCAUCAUCCCUGAUAACUGGUCCUGUUAGCUAGGGAUGAUGGGCGUUGUAGUCCCAAAACAGCUGGA
Non-coding RNA from Podarcis lilfordi (Lilford's wall lizard), 92 nucleotides. The record is from the annotation of a GenBank genome assembly. Lineage: Eukaryota; Metazoa; Chordata; Lepidosauria; Squamata; Lacertidae.